GCUGUGCAGCACGCAAAACACUGCUAAGCUUUAGAUUUUGUAUUAAUAUUGUUUCUUUGUUUUCUGUGGCUGCAGUGCAGAGUCCGCUGAUCGUAUCUCGGCUUAUCGGCGGCGUCAUGCCCGUGUAGGGUCGGACAGCCGAGGGAGUGCUCCAAUGGAGCGCGGCGGGUCUGACGAUUGUCCUCAUAAAUUGUGUGUGUGUCGGGGUGCAGAGGGGCUAAGUGAGCAGUAAAUAACAAAGGGUUCUGCCGCCAUCCGUUCACCAUCGCCACAUUUCCGGCCACGCAAGAUUACCCAGGAUGCCCCUGGAGGGGCGUCUUCUUCCUCUGUGUGAUGAAUGGACAAGAGGAGGGAGGAACACGCCUUUGCCACCCAGCCUCUGACAGAGAAAAGUGUCAGCCUUCCCUCCACCCUCCCACUGCUGACUUGGGCAUCAGUGCAGAGAGCUUUUUAUGGCCCCUUGACUUUCCAAGGGAGUGGGUGGGAUUUAAUAUAUGGUGGAGGAGGCAGAAGGAGGAGGUGAAACCUGCACGGCUUUCUGCCUGCCCUUAAUGCUUCCCCUGUCUCUGGAGCAGGAGUCUUGGAAAUAAUGCUGGACACUGAUACUAUCUGGCUGUACUAUGUAACUGCUGGGACAUGACAAUACUGCAUGAUGAAAUGUUCACCAGAGAUGUGCAAAUAAUCAGGAGUUGUGUUUCGUGGAAGGCAGAGAGCAUGAUGAAAGGUGCAAUUUGUGUGAGUGGCCACACCUUAGGGAAAAACAAAAAUGUGCACAUCUCAACCAGGUGCAGGACCAAAAUAUGAAAAGGGAAGGAUUGCACUAAGAAUGUCACCCCUGGUGAACCAGCAAACCUGAACCCCCUCUUGUGCUGAGACGGGACUGAGGAUGUGCUCCAGCAUCACUUUUUCCCCCCAACAUUUUCUCUGUGGUUCAGUAUUUUUCUAUUACAGCGUUUGAAAGGUCACUGUGCACUGUUGGUACUGCUCUAACUCCAGAGGAAUGAUGGCAUAUGCACCACAACUCAUGUGCUAUCAAGAGAUAAGAAAUUGAAAAUCAGAAAUGCAAAAUGCUGAUCACAGUACACCACAUGAAUAGGGUGUGAUUCAUUUAAAUAAAUGAAAUAUUUAUCCUGUUUAUUAAAUCAGAAGGCUUCUUCUAAUUGUUAAAUCCAUCCCAGCGCUUCUUUCCUUCACUUGUCGACAUGUGCCCCCCAAAUAGUCUAGAGACUGGUAAUUAGAGCAGAGUGGGAGAUUUUCAAUUCCUAAUGCAACACAAUAUGAACAGCGGCCAGCACAAACCCAGUGCCUUACCCGAUGCUCCGUUGGCACUAAGUGAAAUUCCAAUUAACUGACCCAAAUGUCUGCAGGGAGUGUUUGUCUGAGUGUGGUGAGAAUGCAAUUAUUUUCUAUCUUGUACUUGGAUGUCAUCUGUGUAGUGAGUAGCAGCAGCAGCAUUCUGUAGUGAGUCCACAUUUUGUAAAGGCAGUUUUAUAAAGCGUCAACUUUCGCUUCUGCACUGUGCCACCGUGGAAGGGUGAAAUGCAAUUCAUUAUUUGUUUCCGAUGGUCCAGUGGGCAGCAGAACUGAGGAAGCACAAGACAGAAAUUAUUUACAUUGUGUGCAGUGAAGCACCUAAAGAUAGCAAAGCUCAGUUAGACUCCUUGUUACACAGUUAUUGUCAUAGUGAGGUGCGAUGUUUGUAACAAUGACUGAGAGUCUCUUAGGAGGCAAUGCGCCACGGGUAGUGAUGAAAAAAAAUACCUGCUACCAAACUCCUCCAUCCAGCUGAGAGCAGGUGGAGGAGUGAAGCUCUGUAACUGCCCCAUGCUGUGCUUUAAAGAACAGUUCAAACAAUUUAGUUUGUCAAAGAGGGACUCCUGCCCUACUUUCUCCAGCUUUCUGUGAAUCUUUAGCUAUUCCCUGUGCUGCAUCUAGACCUUUGCUGAGAUGAGAACUGCUCCAGGGACGGUAAUUUGUCUAUAUAAAUAAAUACCUCGGUGCUUAAAUGCCCUAUUGGAUGACUGAUUAGGUUGAAAAAAACAUAAAUUGGAAGUUGGCUUCAUUCUUACACUGCUGGUGCCAUGGCAUCGCAGAAAGAAAGAAGGGAAAGGAAGCAAAAGAUGAUGAAGUGGUGGCAUGUUUCUUCAGGACAAACGGGGUGGGGAGAGGUUAAGGAAAAUAAACAAUAAGCAAACACGCAGGUACACACACAGAAGCACAAAGAGAUAAGGGCUGGUGAAAUAAAAUGCUGAUCCAUGGUCCUUGUCUGGGAAGGCAAAAACAGAACAUUGAUUCUGCAAGAUCCACAAAUGAAAAAUCCAUGGGGCUAAGGAGCUCCUCGGCCCUGCGGCAGAGAAAGGGCACCAGCGGUCAGGCUCUCGUAUCGCAAGUGACACCGAGACCGGCCCUCUCACUGGGUGGCAGCGGGCAGCUCUGGAUCAGCUGGACAACAGCCAAAACCAGCGUAACCAGCAGGACACGGCCUGAGAAGGUGGAAAGAAGAACAUUUACUUUUCAGAUUAGAAAAGAAACAAAAAGCUUUUCAUUGUAUUAGUGAUCAUAUGAUAUGGGAAAAAUACAAAAUAUACUGUACCAUAAUGAAUAAUAUUAUUUGUGUAUCUAAA
Molecule: long non-coding RNA, 2624 nt
Organism: Amphiprion ocellaris (clown anemonefish)
Lineage: Eukaryota; Metazoa; Chordata; Actinopteri; Pomacentridae
Exons: 5
Source: RefSeq, a predicted model, not a curated record